RNAcentral lists this unclassified non-coding RNA (348 nucleotides) under Hevea brasiliensis (rubber tree). The record is from RNAcentral. Lineage: Eukaryota; Viridiplantae; Streptophyta; Magnoliopsida; Malpighiales; Euphorbiaceae.
AAAAAAUUGAAUCUUUUCAUUCUUGAUCUCUCAUCUUUUUGCUAAAUUCAUCAAGAUUCAAUCUUUUCUUAAAACCCCAUUUGACAAAAAUGCAUGAUUUUUGCUUUACAAUCCCUUAUGGUUUGAUUCUUGUGUGUGGUGGAAUUAUAGGGUAUUUCAAGAAAGGAAGUAUAGCUUCAUUGGGUGGAGGUUUGGGUACUGGUUUUUUGCUUAUUUUUGCUGGUUACUUGAGUCUCCAAGCAUUUCACAAGCGCAAAAACUCUUACUUUGGUUUGAUUCUUGAAACAGUUUGUGCUGCUGUGUUAACAUGGGUCAUGGGACAGCGGUACAUGCAAACUUCAAAGAUAA